This 362-nucleotide ribosomal RNA is filed under the name uncultured bacterium. RNAcentral describes it as "partial 16S ribosomal RNA". It matches the Rfam family "Bacterial small subunit ribosomal RNA", at positions 338 to 697 of the family's 1533-position model. The record is from RNAcentral.
CCUACGGGCGGCUGCAGUGAGGAAUCUUGGUCAAUGGCCGUAAGGCUGAACCAGCCAAGUAGCGUGAGGGAAGACUGCCCUAUGGGUUGUAACCCUCUUUUUUGCGGGGAUAAAGGUGUCCACGUGUGGAUGUUUGCAGGUACCGCAUGAAUAAGGCCCGGCUAAUUCCGUGCCAGCAGCCGCGGUAAUCCGGAAGGUCCGGGCGUUAUCCGGAUUUAUUGGGUUUAAAGUGAGCGUAGGCCGGUCAUUAAGCGUGUCGUGAAAUUUUGUGCCUCAACCAUGAGAGUGGGGCGCGAACUGGAGACCUUGAGUGCGCGGAAGGCAGGCGGAAUUCGUGGUGUAGCAGUGAAAUGCUUAGAUAU